Molecule: long non-coding RNA, 5657 nt
Organism: Haemorhous mexicanus (house finch)
Lineage: Eukaryota; Metazoa; Chordata; Aves; Passeriformes; Fringillidae
Exons: 4
Source: RefSeq, a predicted model, not a curated record
UCAGGUCAUUUUGGUUUCUGAGAGCAGCAAACACCAGGCUGGUUUCAGGGUUUGCAAAUCUCCCGAUUCCCAGGCCCAUUGUUUUGGUAUUGCCUCUGUGAAGAACAGCAGCUCUGGCUCUCCUCCCACAGAUUAUCUGGGCAUGCAAAUGACCUCAGACACAUACACUGUCAUUUUCUCAUGCUGUGAUUUUCCUUACACCCCCCUGCGGGACAUGACAAUAAAAUUACCCCUCUUGUUCCUUUCCCACAGACAAUCUUGCAGCGUGUCAGUCAGCGUCACGUGAGCAGUCCCCCAUCCAUUGCUCCUGGGACCCGGGGGGUGAUUUGGAAAGGAUCUGCUGGGCUGUCACUCACCUCCAUCUGCCUUCAGGAGAAGGAUUCUGGGUUCCAUGCUGUUUCCUCUUGUGCCUGUGUGGCUCUUUGAUCACAAUUGGCUUCUCAGGCCUUCAGAAUCACAGCUGCCCUGUAAGGUUUGCCCGUAAUCCUGCUGACAUGUUGUUCCCUGGCAAGCUCUGGGCUUUACUUGCUCCCAAUUUGGGAUUAACUGCUAUUUCUGAUGAUUCUGCUGUUGCCACAGAUGUCCUGUUUCUUACCUGGAUUUCAGAGCUGUUUGGGUCUAAAGUACUCCUGCCCUUCUCUGUCACUGUCAGCUGACCAGCCACAUUUUUACUUCAAGAUUUCAUUAUUGAAUCCAUUUCUCUCUCUCAUUUUUGUCCUCACCGACCCUUGUGCACAACAUACAACCAGACCUGCACCAGGAAUUUGUGUGGAGAGCCUGCAUGAGCCUGCAGCACUCACCAGCACUUGCCAGCAUGGUUCCUGUCUGGAAAACAAAAGCAUCAGAGCUCUGACAUGACAGCAAGAUCUAUGUCAGAUAAACCCAUGUGCUUUCUCAUCUUCCCCCCCGAAAGAUUUCAGACAAGCACUGAAGUUUACACUCCUGGAGCUGAGUUUGAGCUGGUCAAGCCAGGAUCAGAAAUGUUUGCAGGCAGGAAGCUCAGUCCUAGAGAGGUUCUGCUGAUCCCACUGACAUUCUGGCUGGCUGAGAUGUUUGGUUCUUCUGGGAGACCCCUCCAUCCUCUUCCUGGUCAGGAAAGGGACACAACUGGGCUCCUGGAAGAAUGACUGGGUGGAGGGUGAAGCUGAGAGUGGAGUUGUUCUGUGUGUGAGAGUAAAUCUGGAUGAACAUCCCUUUCCCCUUGCUGAGGGAGCACUGCGGUGUCCCUGCCUGCCCUUCACACCAAAUGUGGGGGAAAGGACACUUGGAGCACCUGUACUGAAAGGGAGAAGCUGAAGAAGCCUGUGAGCAUUCCCUGCCUCCUCUGAUCUUAUGCAGAUUCUAAACACAGGUCUGAACGCAAGCUCGAUGGCAACUCUCUGCUCCGUCUGCCGGGGCUCCCGCUCCAACCGCUCCUCUCCAUCCUCCACCUUCUUUUUCCAAAGUAACAAAGCCACUGGAUUUCCUCCCACCCCUUCCCUGCGCCUCCCCUCCCCCUCGCUGGCACCGGGGUUAUUUAUACAGAAUGUGGAAACAAUUUGCAGGAAAGUGAACAAUGUAAGUGGGAGCGAGGGAAGGGAGGCGAGUUUGUAGUGCACGCUGAGAGCCCCAGCAGUGAAACGCUGCUUUUUGGGGAGCACAGGGAGCAGACUGUUUUCCUUUCUUCCUUCUCCCCUCUCUCACCAUCUCCCUGAGCUCCUUCCGUCCUGCUGGAGUCGAGGCCAAACCAGAGCAACCAGAUCUGAGUGCGUUUUGGAGGGCGUUCAGGUUGGAUCCCGCCCUGCAGCGCAGCUCCGUGAGGCUGUGUCUGUACCUAAUCCCCUCGGAGGUUCUGCUCUUGGAUCAUUCCUGCUCCUGGAUUAGCAUUAACGAAGAGCAUGUGUGCUCCAGAGGUCCUGCUCCAGGCCCUGGAGCUGCAGCACUGCCUGGUGUUAGACACAGCUAUUCCCAGGAACAGAGGACAUUUCUGGGAGUGAAUGAGGCAGGAACUUCUUGCAAAGUCUAAUUUCAGUUUUUCUGUCCUCACCUGCUCAGCACUGCAUUUCCAGGGCAUCCCAGCACCUUGCUGGCUCCACUGGAAGUUUGUCUGUAAAUCCAGCAGUUUCCCUGAGUGCUCUGGGCUGGAGAAGGUGAACCAGCACUCACUCAGCAUCUCUGGACAGUUCUGGGCUCUUCAGACCUUGCUCUGCAUAGUGAAGUCCUCAAAGAGAGAUAAUCCAAACCCACACAUCCUUUGGGGAAGGGCCAUAGGCAUUGCAGACAGCAGGAAAUGUUAUCCUGGGUUCCAGGUCAGAGCAGAGCAGCCUCCAGCCCUGGGAUGGGAUCUGUGCAUUGUGCUGAGCUGGUAGGGCAGGGCCAGGAGGCUGCCAAGUAGGACAGUGUGUUCCUCCCUAAACCAGGCAGAUUCCUGGCUGAGAACUGGUGCAGCUGAUCCACUGUGCUCCAGUGGCACUGAGGGACAGUCAGAAGGAACCUCUGGUGGGCUUUUCCUUCCUGAGAAUCCAUCCUUUCCACUUCCCAGUUCCUCCUGCUCCUUCUUGGUCACUGUCCACAGACAGAGUGUGAACUUCCCGUGGAUGUUUGUUCUGUAACCUGACGUGUCUGCUCUCCCACGUGGAAGGGCAGGUGGGUCUGCACAGGCUGGGCCUCCCAAAGCUCAGGGCACAGCAGAGCCUGUUCCAAGUGCUGCUUCCUUUAGCCAGUUCUUGGCUGAGUUCACCACUCCAGGAGUUAAGCCCAGGAAGGGCUGGAGCAAAGACACUUUGGCCACUGAUGUUUUCUGGUCAGGGCAGUUCAGCUCUUUGGGUUCUUCUGAUUCUCACUGACUCUGAGAAGGGCCCAGGAAAACAAUUUCUGUUUUCCCUUCCAAUCCAGGCACCAGCAUGGACUGGGAACAGACAGAACCCAGGCCCAGCAGUGGGGCCCAGCAGAGCUGGGGUGUCACUGGUUCCCACUGCAGCCACUCUGUGUCCUGGAGCACAGCAUGAGCCACAGCCUGGCUGCCUCCCAUCCCUGCUCCUGGCAGGAGCCUGGUGGUGUCUGAGCACCUGCCCAGGCUUGUUCCACACUGUGCUGCCCUGCUGGCAAAGGGAAGGAUAGGAGAGAGCUUGAAUCUAUCAGUCUCUGGAGAGAGAACCCCUCAUGCAGGCUCAGGCAGGAGGGCAGCAGCUCUGCUGCUCAGAGGGGUCUCUGGGCAGACACAGACAUUUCCAGUCUCUCUCUGACUCCCAAGGGUCUCCCCUCAUCUCCUGGAGAGAUACAGCCUUGAGUUGCACUGCAUGGAAAGCUCUCAACUCACUUUUGACAGGUUUGGCAAAGUGGAGGCUUGAAGCUCCUAUAGAGCCUAAACUGCAGAAACCAGAGGGACCAGAGUAAUUUCAGGGCAACAGCCAUUGGAACACUUGUGCUUUUUCCCUUCUGGUUCUAAAUGUUCAAAUUCUCACAAAAAUAUGAGACAAACUCUCCUUAGAAUGACUGUGCUGCUGAAAACAUUUGGAAUUUCUUCUUUCAUCUGGUUCAUCUGGUUCUUUCUUUUUUUUUUUUAAUUAUUUUGAGGGUUCUUUAGAUGAGAACAGAUUUGCAUUCCUCUCUCCCUGCUGCUCACUUCCCACCUGAAAUCUUCGGCUGCUCUUUGCAGUUCCCAACACAAUGGUGAGCAAAAUCCUGAACAGAGCAUUCAAACUUGAGGUGAGGAAAAGCAACAGCAGCAGAUGGGCUUGUAAACAGCAGAGACCUGGCUCAGGCACAGAGGUCCUGGUGGAGCAGGAAGGAGCAGGAGGGUUGGUAAACACAGAGCAAUUUCCAUUUUCUGGGCUGAAAUGUGGGGAUCUGGGGAGGGGAGGGCUGUGGAGGAACAGCAGCUCUCCCAUUCUGGCACAGUCAGCUCUUCCCAGCAGAAGCUGUUCCUGUCAGAACUUGCAGCAAAUGGGAGAAGAUGGGAAAGCGGGGAACGUUUUCCAGCAUCAGGGAAUUUGUGGGUGAUGAAAACAAGAUUUCCAGCAGCCCUUUUGCACUAGGCUUGGUUUCUAAAGAGGUAUCUUGCUGUUUUCCUGCCAUUCUUCCCUUUCCUUGAAUUCCUUCUGAAACUCAGUCACCAGAGUUGGGAGUAACUUCGCCAAUACAAAAUUCCCAAAAGUUACCUGCAAGUUUGCAGCUGGACAGAGGAAAAAGAAACCCAGAGGAGUCCCCAUAGGUGGAAGAAAAAAGCAGAAUAAGGAGGCUCAGAUCCAUAGUUUAUUGAGCCCAGAGGGACUUCUACAAACCACAUGGCAUCAGGUGUCAAAGAAAUGAGGAAUGAAAACCAACGUGGAACAACAGAGCAGCCCAAAACUCCCACAGCCCAGUGAGGCUCCAGAAAGGUUGGAGAGUUAAACAGCCCCUUAAUGUGAAUGGGCUGGCCAUGAGCAGCCUCUCUACCUUGUUCUGUCAGGAGAAAGUCCUGAGUCAUGUCAUGGGUGUUCUUUCCUUGGACAAGGAGACUCUGCACAUCCUGUGGAGUCCCGGAGUCACAGAAACAGAGACUGACGAAAGAUGGUUCUGGGCUGGGAUUUCAGAGAGGUUUGUGCUUGAGCUAGGGUUGAAGGGCUGUUGUUUCUGUUUUUCUUGGGGAUUGGGAGGGGAGAGUUUACUGAGUCCCUGAACCUUAAUGUAACAUGAUUAGAAUCUGGAACAGACUCCAAAACAGACAUUUAGGGACUACUAAAUGUACAAAGCAGCUUGGAUAUCUGUCACCAGAGUUUAUCCAGUCCUGGAAAAAGCCUCUGAAAUGGGCAGUGCUUUAACAAAGUACAGAUGUCUGGGGACUCAAAAUACAAGGGAAAAUUAUGAGGAGGAAGAGAUAACACUUUCUCAAUUUCUUAGAGAGGAAGAAAAUGCCAGAAAGUUAUUAAUUUUAUUCCCAGGACUGUGGUAGCUGGACAAGGAUCCAAGGUUAAGGUGAUCCCCAUGACCUGACACUUGCAGAACAAGUGGGCUCCCUGCAUCCUGGCACGAGGAGUUCUAGGGAGAUCUGUAAUCCCCAGUAAUAACCUCAGAGGUUAAUUGGUGUCUGGAAAUGAGUUUAUUAGGUAGGUGGGCUGGAGGGGGUUUAAUUAUGUGUUUAGAUCAGCGUUGCUUCAAGCAUUAAUUUUGCCUGGGAAAGGAGGGUGUAAUGUCAGGAGCAACACUUUCACACUGCUUAGAUUGAGCCAGGGGGGACUGGAGAGAGCCCCUGGACUGUUGGGGAGGAUGGGAACGAGCUCUGAGCAAAAGCAUCUCUUUGUUGUUUUGGGCCAAAAUUCCCUGGACUUCGUGUAAGGCCCAACUCCCUGAGAAUGGCACUCAGCAGUUUUUGGACAGUCAGGCUGUCAGAAGGAAUCCCUCUGAAAUACACAUCAGAUUUCUUUUUUUGGGCCUUAUUUCUCUUUUCUGCUUUGUGUCAUAUUCUCCUCGUAGCUUUCCAGAGCAGAGUUCCUCUUCCACUUGUUCCCUUUUGCCUCCUGCUGAGUCAAUUCCUUUAUUUUCCAACAUUAGUUGUACUGUAGUCACUCCCAGAAUCUGGGAAAUCAUCCUCAGAAGUCUCCCCAUCUCCUGAGCUUACUGCCAACUCUCCCACUAAAGCUUUGAAUUCUUUGUUAUAAAGAAGAAUAAAAGGCCACCAAAGUGCACCUCGACACCCA